This 253-nucleotide ribosomal RNA is filed under the name uncultured bacterium. RNAcentral describes it as "partial 16S ribosomal RNA". It matches the Rfam family "Bacterial small subunit ribosomal RNA", at positions 524 to 776 of the family's 1533-position model. The record is from RNAcentral.
UACGUAGGGUGCAAGCGUUGUCCGGAAUUAUUGGGCGGAAAGAGCUCGUAGGCGGUUUGUCGCGUCUGCUGUGAAAACUCGGGGCUUAACUCCGGGCCUGCAGUGGGUACGGGCAGACUAGAGUGCGGUAGGGGAGACUGGAAUUCCUGGUGUAGCGGUGAAAUGCGCAGAUAUCAGGAGGAACACCGGUGGCGAAGGCGGGUCUCUGGGACGGUACUGACGCUGAGACGCGAAAGCGUGGGGAGCGAACAGG